Molecule: ribosomal RNA, 395 nt
Filed under: uncultured bacterium
Lineage: Bacteria
Description: partial 16S ribosomal RNA
Rfam family: Bacterial small subunit ribosomal RNA
Source: RNAcentral
AUACGUAGGGUGCAAGCGUUAAUCGGAAUUACUGGGCGCAAAGCGUGCGCAGGCGGUUUUGUAAGACAGGGGUGAAAUCCCCCGGCGCAAACUGGGAACUUCCAUUGUGUCAGCUAGGACGGAGAGCGGGACCGGGGGAUGGAAAUCCGCGGGUCGCAGUGGAAUGCGUAGAUGUGCGGAGGAACACCGAUGGCGAAGGCAAUCCCCUGGGCCUGCACUGACGCUCAUGCACGAAAGCGUGGGGAGCAAACAGGAUUAGAUACCCUGGUAGUCCACGCCCUAAACGAUGUCAACUGGUUGUUGGGGAUUUAUUUUCUCAGUAACGAAGCUAACGCGUGAAGUUGACCGCCUGGGGAGUACGGCCGCAAGGUUAAAACUCAAAGGAAUUGACGGGG